Molecule: ribosomal RNA, 238 nt
Filed under: uncultured bacterium
Lineage: Bacteria
Description: partial 16S ribosomal RNA
Rfam family: Bacterial small subunit ribosomal RNA
Source: RNAcentral
GUCCUACGGGGCGCAGCAGUGGGGAAUAUUGGGCAAUGGGCGCAAGCCUGACCCAGCAACGCCGCGUGAAGGAAGAAGGCUUUCGGGUUGUAAACUUCUUUUCUGAGGGACGAAGAAAGUGACGGUACCUCUGGAAUAAGCCACGGCUAACUACGUGCCAGCAGCCGCGGUAAUACGUAGGUGGCAAGCGUUAUCCGGAUUUAUUGGGUGUAAAGGGCGUAUAGGCGGGAAAACAAGU